CCACCCUUUAAUGUUUGAUGUUCUAACGUUGACCCGUGAUCCGGGUUGCGGACAGUGUCUGGUGGGUAGUUUGACUGGGGCGGUCUCCUCCUAAAGAGUAACGGAGGAGCACGAAGGUUGGCUAAUCCUGGUCGGACAUCAGGAGGUUAGUGCAAUGGCAUAAGCCAGCUUGACUGCGAGCGUGACGGCGCGAGCAGGUGCGAAAGCAGGUCAUAGUGAUCCGGUGGUUCUGAAUGGAAGGGCCAUCGCUCAACGGAUAAAAGGUACUCCGGGGAUAACAGGCUGAUACCGCCCAAGAGUUCAUAUCGACGGCGGUGUUUGGCACCUCGAUGUCGGCUCAUCACAUCCUGGGGCUGAAGUAGGUCCCAAGGGUAUGGCUGUUCGCCAUUUAAAGUGGUACGCGAGCUGGGUUUAGAACGUCGUGAGACAGUUCGGUCCCUAUCUGCCGUGGGCGCUGGAGAACUGAGGGGGGCUGCUCCUAGUACGAGAGGACCGGAGUGGACGCAUCACUGGUGUUCGGGUUGUCAUGCCAAUGGCACUGCCCGGUAGCUAAAUGCGGAAGAGAUAAGUGCUGAAAGCAUCUAAGCACGAAACUUGCCCCGAGAUGAGUUCUCCCUGACUCCUUGAGAGUCCUGAAGGAACGUUGAAGACGACGACGUUGAUAGGCCGG
This 670-nucleotide ribosomal RNA is filed under the name Escherichia coli. Its description in RNAcentral is "partial 23S ribosomal RNA". It matches the Rfam family "Bacterial large subunit ribosomal RNA", at positions 2200 to 2864 of the family's 2925-position model. The record is from RNAcentral. Lineage: Bacteria; Pseudomonadati; Pseudomonadota; Gammaproteobacteria; Enterobacterales; Enterobacteriaceae.